GAUGAACGCUGGCGGCGUGCCUAAUACAUGCAAGUCGAGCGAACGGACGAGAAGCUUUCUUCUCUGGUGUUAGCGGCGGACGUGAGAGUAACACGUGUAUAACCUAGCUAUAAGAGUGGGAGAACAUCGGGAAACCGGAGCUAAUACCGGAUACUAUUGUAAACCGGAUGGUUCAAAAGUGAAAGACGGUCUUGCUGUCACUUAUAGAUGGAUCCGCGCUGCAUUAGCUAGUUGGUAAGGUAACGGCUUACCAAGGCAACGAUGCAUAGCCGAACUGAGAGGGUGAUCGGCCACACUGGAACUGAGACACGGUCCAGACUCCUACGGGAGGCAGCAGUAGGGAAUCUUCCGCAAUGGGCGAAAGCCUGACCGAGCAAUGCCGCGUGAGUGAUGAAGGUCUUCGGAUCGUAAAACUCUUUUAUUAGGGAAGAACAUAUGUCUAAGUAUCUGUGCACAUCUUGACGGUACCUAAUCAGAAAGCAACGGCUAACUACGUG
Molecule: ribosomal RNA, 497 nt
Filed under: uncultured bacterium
Lineage: Bacteria
Description: partial 16S ribosomal RNA
Rfam family: Bacterial small subunit ribosomal RNA
Source: RNAcentral